AAAUUUGAAAGCUUGCUUCUGAGUGGUCAAAUCAAAAAGGCAAGGAUUGGCUUUUGUCAUUCAUCCGCCGUUGAUAUUAAUAAAUCUAACAGCCACAGUUUAAUCAGAUUCUUUUUUCUUCCUCUUCUGUGCUUUCUCCUUUGUCAGUUUCACACAUCGAACCUUUUUAUUCUCUUCAUCUUCUUCUUGAAACCUUGUCGCAUUCUUUUCUUUUUCUUUUUUUUUCCUCUUCCAUUUCUCUUAGUCUUUGUUAUUUUUCUUCAUCUCCUUAUGCUAUUCUAAUUGAUUUUUGUUUUGUUUACAGAUCUGAGAAAAAGGAGCAGCUAUAAGACGGGAAGAAGAAGUGGUGGUCUGACAGAGCAGACGCGCCAGAGAUGGAGGUGGUCUAACGAAUCGAAGGAACUGUAGAGGCUGUAUGUAUUAGACCAACACCGGUGGCUCCACGACCAGAUCGAGUCGUGGCUUCAGUUGGAACCACUCCAAGUCGUCGCUUCAGAUGGAACUUCGAGUCGUCGUGGAGCCGUGCAACUGGAGCCGGUGGAGAAGCUGGUGGGAGUCCGAGAUGUUGAUGGUGUAUUUGUGUUUAUAUAUGUGUAUUUAUCUUUGUAAUUUGACUUUUUAAUUAUAUUUAAAUUAAUAUUAAAUUUUGAUUCUGAAACUUUUUAAAAUUAUUAAUUAUUUUUUAUAAUUUAGGGGAUUCAAACUAAUAAUUUAUUAACCAUUAAUUUGUUAAAAUAUAAAUAAUAUUGUUGAUAUAUAAUCAUAAAUACUUGUGACUAAUUUGUAACUAUAUAUAAAUAUUGUAGUCACUAAUAUUAGCAACUAACUUAUAACCAAAUUAGAAUUGAGACUAAUUAGCAACUACUUUUUCAAGACUAAUGCGUAUCGAAAAAAAGUAGUCUUAAAUUUUGUCCAACUACGACGAUAGUUACAAAUAUGUCGCUAGUUUACUACUGAUUACGUAGUUUCACCGUAGUUGCUCUUUUGCAACUAAUUUGCAACCAAUUUUUUUUGCGACGAAGUUUUUUUAACUACAUCUAGUAGUUGCAAAAUAGUUACAUUUUCGAUAUUUGCAACUAUCUUGUAACCAUUGUUGCAGUUGUAAAAUUGAUGUUUUCUUGUAGU
This 1125-nucleotide long non-coding RNA is filed under the name Brassica rapa (field mustard). RNAcentral's name for it is "long non-coding RNA (BRAP_LNC001848)". The record is from RNAcentral. Lineage: Eukaryota; Viridiplantae; Streptophyta; Magnoliopsida; Brassicales; Brassicaceae.